This 98-nucleotide non-coding RNA is filed under the name uncultured Nitzschia. The record is from RNAcentral. Lineage: Eukaryota; Bacillariophyta; Bacillariophyceae; Bacillariales; Bacillariaceae.
CAUACACACUGGUCAACGAAAAAAAGAGAAGACAAAAACAAACAACCGCCAGGAAGAAUAGCAUAAUCUUUGGUUGUUUGUUUGAAUAUCUUUUCCUU